UACGUAGGGAGCAAGCGUUGUCCGGAUUCACUGGGUGUAAAGGGUGCGCAGGCGGGAGAGUAAGUCAGAGGGGAAAUCUCACAGCUUAACUGUGAAACUGCCUUUGAUACUGCUUUUCUUGAGUUUGGGAGAGGUUGAUGGAAUUCCAGGUGUAGCGGUGAAAUGCGUAGAUAUCUGGAAGAACACCAGUGGCGAAGGCGGUCAACUGGCCCGUAACUGACGCUCAGGCACGAAAGCGUGGGUAGCGAACAGG
RNAcentral lists this ribosomal RNA (253 nucleotides) under uncultured bacterium. RNAcentral describes it as "partial 16S ribosomal RNA". It matches the Rfam family "Bacterial small subunit ribosomal RNA", at positions 524 to 776 of the family's 1533-position model. The record is from RNAcentral.